Molecule: ribosomal RNA, 237 nt
Filed under: Saxifraga imparilis
Lineage: Eukaryota; Viridiplantae; Streptophyta; Magnoliopsida; Saxifragales; Saxifragaceae
Description: 5.8S ribosomal RNA
Rfam family: 5.8S ribosomal RNA (bases 4-151)
About the family: 5.8S ribosomal RNA (5.8S rRNA) is a component of the large subunit of the eukaryotic ribosome. It is transcribed by RNA polymerase I as part of the 45S precursor that also contains 18S and 28S rRNA.
Source: RNAcentral
CCGGCAACGGAUAUCUCGGCUCUUACAUCGAUGAAGAACGUAGCGAAAUGCGAUACUUGGUGUGAAUUGCAGAAUCCCGUGAACCAUCGAGUCUUUGAACGCAAGUUGCGCCCGAAUCCAUCCGGUCGAGGGCACGUCUGCCUGGGUGUCACGUACACAAGGCUCCACUAACAACCCCCCACUCCUUUAAGGUUUGACGGGACAUGUGUGCGAGCAAAGAUUGGUCUCCCGUGCUUU